GAUGAACGCUGGCGGCGUGCCUAACACAUGCAAGUCGAGCGAUUUACUUCGGUAAAGAGCGGCGGACGGGUGAGUAACGCGUGGGUAACCUGCCAUGUACACACGGAUAACAUACCGAAAGGUAUGCUAAUACGAGAUAAUAUGCUUUUAUCGCAUGGUAGAAGUAUCAAAGCUCCGGCGGUACAGGAUGGACCCGCGUCUGAUUAGCUAGUUGGUAAGGUAACGGCUUACCAAGGCGACGAUCAGUAGCCGACCUGAGAGGGUGAUCGGCCACAUUGGAACUGAGACACGGUCCAAACUCCUACGGGAGGCAGCAGUGGGGAAUAUUGCACAAUGGGCGAAAGCCUGAUGCAGCAACGCCGCGUGAGCGAUGAAGGCCUUCGGGUCGUAAAGCUCUGUCCUCAAGGAAGAUAAUGACGGUACUUGAGGAGG
This 432-nucleotide ribosomal RNA is filed under the name uncultured bacterium. RNAcentral's name for it is "bacterial SSU rRNA". It matches the Rfam family "Bacterial small subunit ribosomal RNA", at positions 28 to 487 of the family's 1533-position model. The record is from RNAcentral.